UGAAUACGAGACGCUAAGGCGUCGAAGUAGUGUAUGUCAUACUUCCAAGAAAAGCUUGCACUGUCAUAGAUAAAAAACGCCUGUACCAUAACCGACACAGGUGGGUAGGUAGAGUAUACUAAGGGGCGCGAGAUAACUCUCUCUAAGGAACUCGGCAAAAUAACUCCGUAACUUCGGGAGAAGGAGUGCCUUAUUCGUAAGGUUGCAAUAACAAGAUCCAAGCAACUGUUUAUCAAAAACACAGGUCUCCGCUAAGUCGUAAGGCGAUGUAUCGGGGCUGACGCCUGCCCAGUGCCAGAAGGUUAAAGAAGUUGGUUAGCAAUUGCGAAGCUGAUAACUGAAGCCCUGGUGAACGGCGGCCGUAACAAUAACGGUCCUAAGGUAGCGAAAUUCCUUGUCGGGUAAGUUCCGACCCGCACGAAAGGCGUAAUGAUUUGGAUACUGUCUCGGAGAGGGGCUCGGUGAAAUAGACUUGUCUGUGAAGAUGCGGACUACCUGCACCAGGACAGAAAGACCCUAUGAAGCUUUACUGUAACUUGAAAUUGAAAUUGGACUUUAUUCGCGCAGUAUAGGUGGGAGGCGUUGAUUAUAAUCUUGUGGGAUUAUUGGAGCCAUCAGUGAGAUACCACUCUUGUAAUGUUGGAUUUCUAACUUUGAAUCAUUAUCUGGUCAAAGAACAGUUUCAGGCGGGCAGUUUGACUGGGGCGGUCGCCUCCUAAACGGUAACGGAGGCGUACAAAGGUUUCCUCUGAACGGUUAGAAAUCGUAUCUAGAGUGUAAAGGCAUAAGGAAGCUUGACUGUGAGACCUACAAGUCGAGCAGGGACGAAAGUCGGUCUUAGUGAUCUGACGGUACUGAGUGGAAAGGCCGUCACUCAACGGAUAAAAGUUACUCUAGGAUAACAGGCUGAUCUCCCCCAAGAGUUCACAUCGACGGGGAGGUUUGGCACCUCGAUGUCGGCUCAUCGCAUCCUGGGGCGGUAGUACGUCCCAAGGGUUGGGCUGUUCGCCCAUGAAAGCGGUACGCGAGCUGGGUUCAGAACGUCGUGAGACAGUUCGGUCCAUAUCCGGUGUAGGCGUUAGAAUAUUGAGAGGAGCCUUCUUUAGUACGAGAGGACCGAGAAGGACAUACCUCUGGUGUACCAGUUAUCGUGCCAACGGUAAACGCUGGGUAGCUAUGUAUGGAGUGGAUAACCGCUGAAAGCAUCUAAGUGGGAAGCCCACCUCAAGAUAAGUAUUCUCAC
RNAcentral lists this ribosomal RNA (1243 nucleotides) under metagenome. Its description in RNAcentral is "bacterial LSU rRNA". It matches the Rfam family "Bacterial large subunit ribosomal RNA", at positions 1564 to 2817 of the family's 2925-position model. The record is from RNAcentral.